RNAcentral lists this long non-coding RNA (1240 nucleotides) under Pogona vitticeps (central bearded dragon). RNAcentral's name for it is "lncRNA (ENSPVIG00000005322.1)". The record is from RNAcentral. Lineage: Eukaryota; Metazoa; Chordata; Lepidosauria; Squamata; Agamidae.
GUGUUUCCACUUCUGAAUCGACUUUGCUACUCCUGGUUUCUGGGCUGUCCUGGAUGCCAACUGAACCUUGGUAAUCUCCACCCACAGAUGUCAAAAGGGGGAGUUAUGUGGAAUGGCCCAGCACCACCCAUAGAGCGGCUAGGCAUCAGGCCAUACAUCUGGAACACAGAAUGCCUCCGUGGGGAUGUGGAUGCUCCAGGCUGGGCUACUGCCUUCCCCCAAGCCCUGGGCUUGGCGGCCUCCUUCAGCCCUUCGCUCAUCUACAGGGUGGCCAACGCCACGGCCACGGAGGUCCGGGCCAAACACAACCACUUUGUCUCCAUCGGCAACUACGAGGACCACACCGGCCUCAGCUGCUUCAGCCCCGUGUUGAACAUCAUGCGCCACCCGCUGUGGGGCAGGAACCAGGUGCGAAGGGCUCCAAAAAGAAAAGGAGGAGCCGGGAAUGACCUAAGAGAGCUAAGCAGGAACGGCUUUUGGGGAAUAAUAUGAAAGAGAAAGCACGGAUUUAGCCAUCAUUUCUGGAGGGGCCACUGGGCUGGUUGUCGAGAGGAAAAUGCCAGAGGGCCUAGUGGUUCCCUCUGAAGCCAACAUGAUUUCUUCGGGAUCAUUCCAUGGAUGGCAGCCGGGUUCAGAUAAGAUGCCUGAAGGCGUCCAUGAAAACCUCUGCCCGCUAAAAACAGCCACUCUAUAGGCCACCACAAGAUGCUUUGCUCUUAAGGCAAGCUCUCCAGGCUUGCAAACCUGUUGUGUAUCUUUCUGUUGGCUGGGGUUGUCUGCAUUGCAGAGUUCUGAAAUUUCGGCUUCAGUUUCCUCGGGCGGACGUGUGAACCUGGUCCUCAUCCCGGGGGAAGAAAAAAGGAAGGAAGGUAUUUCCAGUUGCGAAGCAGAAGGAGAAGGCAAAGCAGACCAAAGAUUAAGCAAUGUCUCUGUCUGACCCUCUGUCCCCAUAGGAGACUUAUGGGGAGGACCCAUUCCUGACCGCAGAGCUGGGGGUGGCUUUCGUGAAGGGCCUGCAGGGCGACCACCCUCGUUACGUCAAGGCCAGCGCUGGCUGCAAGCAUUUCGAUGUCCACGGUGGCCCCGAAAAUAUCCCCACCUCCCGGUUGUCCUUUGAUGCCAAGGUCAGUGGAAGUCAGAGGGGCUUGUGUGUGUGAGUGUGUGGGUGGGUGUAUGGAAAUGGAGAUGGCCAUAGGCGAGGAAAUGUAGAACUGCCGAGCUGGAAGGGGCCGUGGGUCAU